UAUGCCAAGCUUUGUCGGCCUAAACAUGCUACUAGCGGAUAAAUUAGUAAAUAGAUCUACGUGAACAAGAGAUUCAGAACAUUAAAAAUUUAUAUUUUACCUCAUUCCAUAACUUUUAGGUCCAAUCUUAUUUUAACGCACAUCUCCACAAACUGUUCUCUUAAAUCCAACAAAUAACAGUCCAAAUUGUCCAAUUCAAAUUAAUGAUUAGUAAUCCAUUUACGUUUCGAAUCAACCUUAAACCCAAACAUCAUAUAAGCAUGAAAUUUUUAUCAUACAAGUUCAAGAUAUCACAAAUAAGCAUGAAAUUCACACAAGUCUAUCACCCAACCAUCAUAUAAGAAAAAAUCAAUAAAUAAAUGGUAAGAUAGUGACGGACCUCAAAGCAAAGUAAUUUUGAAUCUGAAAAUACUUAACAACGGAAAACUUAGACAACAACAACCUCGACAAAACUGCGAACCUUCCCGGAACCUCAGACUACGACCUUCGACGAGCUCGAAACUCGUCGGAAAACUCGAAUUAAACCAAAAAAAUAAAACCAACGGACUCUGUGACAGUGACUGGCGAUUUGGAGCGGCUUCGUGCUAUUUAGGGUGCUUUGUAGGUGAAUUUUGCAACUGCCUUUUUCGAAGAUAAGACAAUUGGUUUUACAUGGUUAUGGAGGUUUAAUGGAGUAUGGAGAAGAAAAGGUUAACAAUGGUGGAAAAGCCAAUUUCUUAGAAGUGGGAUCGAGAAGAUGACUGCGGCGCUAGAGAUUCCUUCCUACUGGUUCCCCUGUUUCUUUUUCCUGCCUCCCCGUUAAUUGUUGCCUCUUCUCACUCUCUAUUUUUGACGUUCCUUUCCUCCUCUCAUUCUCACUAUUUCUCUCAAUUUCCCCUAUAUCUCUUCUUAGCUAUCACUCUCUGUCCAUGCUUUCUCUCUGUUCUCACUAGGCGUGACUCUCCUUCUAUCUAUGUUUGUGUGCAGCUGCCUAGGAUCCUUAGGGUUAGAAAAGGUUAUAAUUAGGAUUUUAAAUAGGUGUGGGUAAAUAACAAGGUCCAUUAGAUUAAAAGAAAUGAAUGGGUAGGAUUGAAAGGGGUGUUGGGCGGGUCAGCAGGUCUAGUGGGCUAAUGGAAUUGAGCUGGCCGAUUUUGAGCCUCUUUUGUCCCAAAGCAAGAUAAAAUAAUGAGCCUAAACUAUUAAAAUACUAUCAAAAUGUUAAUUAAUCCUUUGUAAGUAGAGUAAACUAUUAAAAUAAAACUGUUUUUGGUAUUUUUCAAAUAUCAUACUAAAGAUAAAAAUAGAAGUAGGUUAAAAUCAUAGAAAAAUUAAAAUAAUAUCACUUCGAAAAAGAAAACUAAGGACAUUAAAUAAAUAUAUGUAUAAAUAUGAGAAAUAUUAUAAGGAUGAAACUAUUUUUGUAGUUUUCAAUUUUAUUCUUUAAAACUAGAAUUAAAAUUUAUAAUAGAGUGAAAUCCUAUAGAAAUAAACUCAAAUAAUUAUUCUAAAAAUACUAAGACUACUAAAGAUAAUCCUAAUGUGCGGGUCAAAAAUUACGUGCUUACAGCUGCCCCUCUUUGCUCGGAAAUACGAAGUGUUUUUGAGCAAAGAAUCAAAUAAGCGACGUAAUUGAUUUCUUACCCGACACUUAUUCAAAAGAAAAUAAAGACGGAUAAAAGAGUGUGACCAAGCCCUUGUGUCCGAGCUGCCUACAUAUCUUUGGCUAUAAAGGAAUCAGGCCACGUGUAGUUCAGAGGUGAAUGAAGUGAUGGAGUAUGUGGAGAGGAUGAGAGAGUCGAGUGAGGUACCAUUCGAGGCUCCGGUCUGUGGUCCCUGCCAUUUACAUCAAACAUAAAAGCAAAAAUUAUAGCAAAAAUAAAAUAAAAAUACAAGAUCCUAUCUACUUCUUAUCUUGAAUCUCCGCUUGAUCAUUCAACAUGAAACUAACAAUCAACCCUAUUCUUCAGGUGGGCAUCCUGCAGACUCGAACUUGAAGAAAACUGAAAGUUGACCCUGUUUUUCAGGCGGGCUCCUGACUCUUGCACUUGAAAUAAACUUGAACUUGGAGUAGACUUGAGCUUGUAAACCUUGUUCUUCAGGCGGCUCGUGCUACUUCUGAUUUGACUUGAAAAAACUGGAGGUUAACCCUAUUCUUCAGGCGGGAUCCUGCUGCCUCUGACUUGAACUUCUGAAAGUUGACCCUGUUCUUCAGACGGGCUCCUGAUGCUUCUCUAACUUGAACUUGAAAACUGAAAGUUGACCCUAUUCUUCAAGCGUGCUCUUGAUGCUUCUCUAACUUGAACUUGAAAACUAAAAGUUGACCAUGUUCUUCAGGCGGGCUCUUGAUUGAUCUUGAAAGAAACUGAAAGUUGACCAUGUUCUUCAGACGGGCUCCUGGUACUUCUCUGAUUUGAGCUUAAAACCGAUUUCUGAAAUAUUGACCUCGUUCUCCAGGUGGGUGUCUCCAAUCAAAACAAACAAAACAAAAAAAAUUUCUGCCCCAGUUUGCACUAGGAAGAUUUGUGAGUUGUUAGAAAAACUAUAAAUCGCCUAUGCUAUUGAUGAAGGAUGGAAUGACGAGAGUAAAAUUAAAGACUCGACUAGGAUGUGCGUCUCAUGUGAGAUUGAGCUCAAGGAAAACUAUAAAAUGAGCUUGACUAAACUAAAAAUUGAUCCUAUUCUCUAGGCGGGACCCCUGAACUCAAGGAAAACUAAUGAUUAACAACCUAAGAAAACUAAAAACUGACCCUAUUCUCCCGGCGGGACCCCUAAACUCAAGAAAAACUAAAGACUAACAAUGUAAGGAAACUAAAAACUGAACCUAUUCUCCAGGCGGGACCCCUAAACAUAAAGAAAGCCAAAGAUUAAUAACUUAAGGAAACUACAAUUGACCCUAUUCUACAUGCGGGACCCCUGAACUAAAGAAAAACUAAGAUUAAUAACUUAAGAAAACUAAAAGCUAACCCUAUUCUCCAAGCGGGACCCCUGAGCUUAAGAAAAGCUAAAUAUUAACAACUUAAGGAAACUUAAAACUGACCCUAUUCUCCAGGCGAUAGCCUUGAACUUAAGGAAAACUAACGAUUAACAACUCAAGAAAAUUAAAAGCUGACUCUAUUCUCUAGGCGGGACCCCUUAAUUUAAGGAAAACUAACGAUUAACAACUUAAGGAAACUAAAAUUGACCCUAUUAUCCAGGCGGGACCCCUGAACUCAAGUAAAACUAAAGACUAACAACUUAAGGGAACUAAAAACUGGCCCUAUUUUACAGGCGGGACCCCUGAACUCAAGGAAAGCUAAAGAGUAACAACUUAAGAAAAUUAAAAUCUGACCCUAUUCUCCAGGCGGGACCCCUGAAUUUAAGGAAAACUAAAGAUUAACAACUUAAGAAAACUAAAAUUGACCUUGUUCUGCAGGCGGGACCCCUGAACUCAAGUAAAACUAAAGGCUAACAACUUAAGGGAACUAAAAACUGGCCCUAUUUUAUAGGUGGGAUCCCUGAACUAAUGGGAGCCAAAGAUUAAUAAUUUAAGGAAACUAGAAUUGACCCAAUUCUACAGGAGCCCUGAACUAAAGGAAAACUAAGACUAACCACUUAACAAAACUAAAAGGUCACCUUAUUCUCUAGGCGGGACCCCUGAACUCAAGAAAACUAAUGAUUCUUCUCAACUAGGGGAAUGCCUAGGAAGUAUGGUUCUUCUCAACUAGGAAAAAUGCCUAGGAGGUAAUGAUCUUCUCAACUAAGAAAAUACCUGAGGGUAAUGAGAUUCUCAAACAGCCUAUACUUCAUUAAAACAAUCAUGUGAUCUUUUUCUCUUUUUUUCUUUUUUUUUUUAAUUAAAAAAAUUGGUUGACUCGUGACAAACUUGUAAGCUGAAUUUUAAGCAUUAUUGUUUGACUUGGCUUGCCAGGGUUGAAUUGAAUUGGUUUCAAAGAAGGUCUAAAGUGAUUCGCCCAUGGGAUUCGACCAAGUUCAUUCCUAUCACUUCACUCAAAUUUUCAAAAUUAAUUCAUUCUUUUCAGUUGAAUUGUCAAAUAAGUCAUUUCCCUUUACCAGGAUUGACGAAUUGAUCGUCUAUUUCACAUUGAUUGCCAAAACUGAUCAUCUGCCUUCCUAAUUUGGGACUUCUUUGUGGCAAAUUUAAAAAUUCUUUCUUGCUUGUAUUGAGCAAAAGAAGAAGAACAAAUGCACAAGUAAAAAUCAAAGAGAGUGGUGUAUGAUGAGAUUCCACUGAGAAGGAGAGCUUAUCUAAAAUGAAGAAUAAGGUAAAGGAAUGUGACAUGCAUUUAGACCAAUAACUUGAUUUGUCAAUCUUUUCAAACUUGUUGACUCUUCAAAUUCUUACGUGAUGUUGAUGAGUUGGUCUACUUUGCUCCUCCAAAUGUGCCGCAGAUGUUGCAUGUUUUCAUCAAAAACAUUUUGUUGCACACAUAUCUCACCAUUUUGACUUGUAGUGCCUCGAAAGGUUUUCACCGACAAGUCUCUCUCAUUUUUCUCUUUGCUCUCAUUCAUUGCCGCUUUCAAUUCUUAGCUUGGUUAAUUGACUACCCCUUCAAUCGUUAUUGAUUUUUACAAAAAUCUUGAUAAGCUCAUAACAUGCUUGACUUAGCAUUUUCAAGAAUCAAUCUGAUAAGGACUUUUAUUUGAAUCGUAAUGAAGGCUUUUGGACAAGGUGAGAAACAAAGGACUGCAUGGAGACUCAAAAUUGUAAUGACGGGGUUACUUUAUUUACAACUUUUGGGAUCCAUUUUAAACACUUUGCCCUAGUUUCUACAACAGGAGAAUUUAUUUUUUUUCCUUUUUGAGAUGGAAUUUCUAAGAAAACUGCCCCCUCUUGACUUCGUGGGAUUAUGAAAUAUUUUAUUUGGUGCGACCGAACCGUAAGGCUGCCUACGUAUCUUGUGGUAACAAGAAUCAGGUCGAACGCAGUUCAAAAGAAUACUUUUUUGUUGUUGCCAAUUUUUUUUUCUUCCCUUUUUCUUCUUUUUUUCUUUUUUUUUGAUUCCUUUUUUUCUUUAUCUCUUUCCUUUUCUUCUUUUUUUUCUUUCGGUAUGAACUUCUAAAACAAACCUUAUGGGGACAUGGAUUUUUUUUAGUGACUCUAACUUGAUUCCAAAAGAGGAGAGGUCAAAGAAAUCAACACUGGCUCAAAAGGGUACCGAAGGGUAUAAAGUAUUUGGGUAACUGAAAGAGGGCCUCCCAAUCUCUGAAAAUGGCAAGUACAUCACAUGCAACUUGAGGAUAAAAAAUAAAAAUCAUGGCACAAUAUUUCUUUUGCAGCUUCAGCAUUGAUAUCACUUAUCUGCCUUCCACUUUUUUUUAGUGCCUUGUCAAGUAUAGAACUCUCGUUGGGUGAUUGCUUCUUCACACUAGAUACCGUCCAUCAGUUUAGGACAAACUCCCUUGGCUUUAUCUUAUAACUUGAGAUGCACUUGAACUCAAAUUUCUUUGUUUCAAAUUGUCCAAGACGCACUCUCUUUUAACAAAUUCUUGUCGUCCUCUUAACUUCACAAAAUGUCUGCCUCAGUUUCACACAAUUCGGGCUUUAAAUGACCUCAAAAUGUCCAAAUCUUUACUUAUUUUCCCUCAAAUGUCCCUGUCAUCUUCAAACCUUGUUUCAUUGCUUCAUGAUUAGACUAACUUUCAAGACCAGGCUGAGAAUUAUGCGUGCAUGUCAUGUCACUAGAAUCACCAUGAAGAGAACUAAACAAAAACUGACUAAAAAUAACAGAAAACAGGAGAUUGCAUUAGGACAGACGAUGAAAGGGUUUGAACAACAAAAUAAGCAAAAUAGACAUGGGUUACAACCCUGGAACAAUCCUAGAUAACACUAGAUGAGUUACUACAACUAAACACACUACGCAAAAUAAGAGGAAGAAGGGUUUGAGCGACAAGACAAUAUUCAGAUUACAACCGUGAAAUAACCCGGACAACAGAAACGACGACAAAAUAAACUACCAAGACUCCUCCAUGGCUAACCAAGAAAGGAGUGUCUUUCCAAUUUCUAAGCUCGACAUCUAAGCCACUGAGUCACACAUCAACGUUACUAGGACCUUCACAAAUCUCCAUCACAUUGACCUCAGCAAAUUGCUUUUGGGUCCCUUUUGCCACCUCGUUCUUAAGAUCAACUUUUGGAACCGAGACUGAUAGCGGUGAAAACUUUGCAAAAAGUGGUCCUCCAAGAAACUCAGAAGAGUUCUCAUAUUCCUUUUCAACACAAAUUAUGCCCACCAUAUGCAUCUCAUUAUGAACAGGCAAUGGACUUUGGCUAGUAAUCGCUGCAUCUAGAUUUUGCACGAUAAUGUCACCUGAAUCAAUAAGCUUCUGGACUGCUCUUUUCAAAUUCCAACACUUUUCUAUGUUGUGCCCUGGGGAAUUAAAGCAAUAUGUGCACCUUUGAGAAUAAUCAAAAUUCUUUGGAAGGGGGUUCGAUAUUUUUAUCUGAAUAGGCUUCAACAUGUCCAAUUGCCUCAACUUUUGGAACAAACUGGCAUAUGAUUCUCCAAUAGAAGUGAGACUUUUCCUUUUGUUGCUGCCUUUUCAUUUUGUACUCCGGCCUUGGUAGGAACCUCUUGCGGGUAGGUGGUUUAUAUGCCUGUAGAGGUGGGUAAGACAUUUGUGGAGGUGGUGUAGGCCAUUGCGGGUCUGGUGGAUGUGAAGCAUAUAGCGGUGCGUUGUGGAUAGAGUACCGGAAAAGUAAGGUAUGACUUUGGGGAUUUUGUGGAGAGAAGUAGCAUUGGGGAGGAUUAUCUGGAGUACGGGGAUAUUCAUAAGAUCGAUGUUGUGGAUAAGAGUGUUGAGGAAGAAGGCCCACCAGAUCUCGUCGUUUCCGGGGCUCAACAACAUCUUUUCUGUUUCUUUUUCUUCCACCCAAACCUACGGAUACGUGUUGAAUAACCUCUGUGGUGUCUCUCAACGUAGGGCAACUCAUGAAUUUGCCUGAAUUGAUUCCUUCUUCUACCAUCUCCCCCAUUUUCACCACAUCAUUGAAAGGCUUACCUAAAGAUGGGAUCAAAUGACUGAAGUAGGUGGGUACCUCAGCUUGUAGGAAAAGCUUAACCAUUUCUUCAUCAUCAAUCGGGGGACUGACCCAAGUAGCUUGUUCCCUCCAUCUGAGCACAAACUCCCUAAAACUUUUAUCAGGUUUCUUUUCCAUCUUAGAUAGGGAGGAACGAUCUAAGAUAAUGUCUAUAUUGUACUAAAAGUGUCGAAUAAAAUCUUGAGCCAUGUCAUCCCAUGUAUGCCAAUUACUGACAUCUUGACGAGUAUACCAUUCCAAGGCUGCCACACUCCAGCUCUCACUGAAAUAUGCCAUCAACAAAUCAUCUUUCCCGCCAACACUUCUCAUUUCAUUGCAAUAACCCCUCAAAUGGGCUACUGGAUCUCCAAGCCCAUCAUACAAGUUAAAGUUUGGCAUUUUAAACACCGCGGGCGGAUGAAUAUUGGGAAACAUAGACAAGUCAUUGUAGGACACGUUAAUCUGAUUUCUCAUCCCUUGCAUAUUCUUUAAGGAGUGUUCUAUACCCUUCAGCUUUCUGGAUAUCUCAUCUCGCUCUUUUCUCCUUGUGAACUUUUCAUUUUCAACAUGAGGCUCAUUCCGAGGGCUAUGAUUGUAUGAGUCCGGGACCUGGUUGGCCAACUAUGGGAGGUAGUAUUGGGUAUCAUGAGGUUUGAACAAGUGUUCACCGUUGGACCUAAAAGGAGGUUGUUGAGAAGUUGUGAUGGUGGAGGUAGCAGAUAUGACAGGAGGAAUAUUUUUGGGAAAGGUAGCUAGAGGACGAACGAUGGAGCUGCUAGGGAGGUUGGGAAAGUUGUGAUAAACGGGAAAAUCUAGAGAGUAUGGUGGAUCUUCUAGCACUAUGACCAGAGCUUGGGUAAGGGUAGCAUCUAAGAAGCUAGGUGGUGGUGGGGAUAGUGUCUUCCCAGCCAUCCAAGCCUGGUACAUAUCCGCCAUAUAUUAUCUUAAAAUCCUUAACUCUUCAACCAACCCAGUAUCCUGUUCAACCAAUUGCUUUUGGGCCCAGUAUCAACCAACUCAAUUCCGUUGUCGUCUGCCAUUGCCUUUCGACUUUAUGUUGUAGGGAAAAAGUUACUAGUUUAAGAACAACAAACCAACCACCCUUGUGCUAUAAUAAAGAUAACAAAGAGGAACAAAAUCAAGUCAUCAUAUUAGUAUUAGGGCAUUUAACAAAAUAUAAUCUCACAUUAUAUGAAAUGCACCUAGUCACAGUUAUCGAUUCUAAAAUGACUUCGAGGGUACGAAGGUCAUAUUGGCAUCAUCCAAAGUUUACUCUUCUUGCCCCUUUUACUCUUCAUUUUUUCUCUUUAACACUUCUUGGUUUUCUCAUUUUCUUUCCUCUCCUUUUCUUUCUGAUUAUCACUCUUUUCUUUCCUCUAACUUCUUACAUCCCACAACAUCAUCACUUUUUUUAAUUCUAAAAAUGAUUUGAUCGAACCCGAUGUAGGUUGCCUACGUAUCAUGUUCCACAUGAAUCAGACCAAACGUAGUUCUGGAAAAGUAAUGGAAAAAAUAAACUAAAAACAAAAAUCUUUUUGGAUUUUUCAUUUAUAAUAUUUUUGGUUUUCACAUACAAAAUAGGAAGUACGAUAACAAAAGAUUCGACGAACUCAACUAGACUAUGACAGACUUUGACACCACCUAAGAGACUCAAUACUAUUGUAUAAGACUAGAAAGUAAAAGACAACAUAAAACAAACUCAAAAAAUAAAAAGUCCCCUUAAACAUCUCCUGAAGGCAACGGUCCUGGCUGGGAAGCUCCUGGGGCGUCUGUCGUGCUCAAGAUCUGGUAAAUGAAUCCAUACCUGAAUGAGAAGAAUAAGACUAAAUAGAGUUAGUGACUCAAGACACUAUGCGAUGCCACAAAACCUUCUAUUGGACACAUGUAAGUCAUGAUUGGGCUAUAUUUGUAAAAUGGCCUACGUGGCCAAGGGUGACUAUUAGUACGAACUCAACAAAAAUGACCUCCAAGACAUGGAAAUAUCUCACUAAAGCUUAUAUGGCUUCAAACUCCCAAUAAUCAUGGCCCUAGAAAUUACUUUGCAAAAAUGACCCAUUUUGCAAAAAUGGAUGAUAUGGCCAAACACGGCAAGAGAUGCAAAUUCAACAAGGACGGAUCUUAAAGUAAUAGGCAAAAUGACCCCAUUUUGCAAGAAUGGUCGAUGUGGAUAAAAAUGGCUAGACAUGCAAAUUCAACAAGGACGUGCCUUAAAAUAAGGAGACAACUAAUUGUGAAUUCAAGACUCUCCGAACACGGUUCAACAAGCCACUUUGCAAAAAUAGCCUUAUUUUGCAAAAGGGUCGAUGUGGCCAAAAGCGGCUAGGCAUGCAAGAUUUGGCUACGACCUCCGAAGCCAAGAACUUAAGACUCACUAGGAAAAUCGGACCCUAUGUGGGCUGCUUACGUAUCCCGCCCAAAAAUAUGAGAAUCAGGUAUGCGUGGUUCGGGAAGAUUGGAUACGGAAGAAAAUUAAAAAAAUAACUGAUUUGGAGAAAACAUAUUUUUUGUCUUUUUGAAAAAUGAUGGAAAAUGUAAAAUCUUUUUGGAUUUUCUUUUUCUCUUGUUUUUUUUUAUUUUUGGAAAAAACUAUGAAAGAAAAAUGUGGAUGGGCCCAACUUGCUUCAUUUUAUACUUCACCCUCUUUUCUUUCUCACUGUUCCGCCAAAUGACCCCUUCACCCUUAAAGAAUACAUCAUGUAGCACAUAGGGAUGGUUAAAUAUCUUUUUGGGCCAUGGGCCCGGUUUGACAUAAUUUGGAUAGGCCUCCUACAACGGGACACAGUGCUUGGGACCGAGCCUUGCUAGGUCUAAAUGACAUGAUGCAAAUAAGCAUGACCUAAAAGAUGACCUACGUUUGGGAUUCACUAGACAAGGUAAUUCAGGGCGACACGUGGUCGAUAGCGGCUGCUCUAGCUUUUCGCUCACUUCACGCUCACAUGCCAUCCCCUAAAGACACGGGUGACUCACAAAAGGCCGUAUAAGCUCAAACGUACUCCGGAAGACUUGUUGCGGAAAAAAGACUCAUAGUUAUGAAAAUGAUGACAGUUUUAAAGCAGUAAACACAUAAAGAAAAAACUGUAAACACAUAAACAACUAGCAAAUAAUAACAAACUAUAAAAACACAACAAAAUUCAGAUAAAGCAAAUAAAAAACAUAAAAACCUCAACUGAAUUUUCUAAAAAGCCAACAAGAUCGUAGUAUCAGCUCGAACCUGCAACUCCCCAGCAGAACCACCAAAACUGUCACACCCCCGUUUCACCUCACUAACCCUCUUUAAAAAUAAUAAAAGAUUUUUGAAGCUUGAAAGGGUUUCAAUUUGAAAAGUGACAAAAAGAUUGCAUCUCGAAGGAAUUUCAUAGUCGCCACCUGACAUUUGGUUUCGGUGUGCCAUGUCACCAUUUUUAAAAUAACAAUUCCCUUCAAAAUACAUUUGACUCUUAAACAAGUUUGCACCAAAGAUUCAGGUAAGAAGGUUCAUUUGACUCAGGGAGAAGGUGUUAGGCAUUUCCUGAGUCCCGUAACUACUACGGUUGAGUACAUGAUCAAAUUGGCUUUUAAGAAUACUCAGAUUGACUUGGAAACACGAAAGAGGCUCGAGGUCAUCCUCGUCUAAUAAAAGAAAAAUAAGAAAAAAGAAAAGAAAGUACUAAAAGAAAAUAUACCAAAAGUUCUAAGCUAUCCUACACUACAUUUCCUCCACGAUGUAGUUUCGGCCUCCGUUUACAUUCACUUCGGGGCAUACCCCAGAUAAAAUAUUUUCAAGCCCUUCGGGGAAUUCCCCGGAUAAAAAUAACAUACUAAAGGGACAACCUCUCACCUCUGAAGCUAAAAUCAUAAACAUCUUAAAGUUUGCCUACGCCAAGCUUUGUCGGCCUAAACAUGCUACUAGCGGAUAAAUUAGUAAAUAGAUCUACGUAAACAAGAGAUUCAGAACCCUAAAAACUUAUGUUUUACCUCAUUCCAUAACUUUUAGGUCCAAUCUUAUUUUAAAGCACAUCUCUACAAACGGUUCUCUUAAAUCCAACAAAUAACAGUCCAAAUUGUCCAAUUCAAAUUAAUGAUUAGUAACCCAUUUACGUUUAGAAUCAACCUUAAACCCAAAUUCGUUUCCUAAUUAACCAAAGCAAUAACUUACAGUAAACCACAAUUUUUAUCAUACAAGUUCAAGAUAUCACAAAUAAGCAUGAAAUUCACACAAGUCCAUCACCCAAACAUCAUAUAAGACAAAAUCAAUAAAUAAAGGGUAAGAUAGUGACGGACCUCAAAGCAAAGUAUUUUUGAUUCUGAAAAUGCUUAACACCAGAAAAUUUAGACAACGACAACCUCGACGGAACCGCGAACCUGUCCGGAACCUUAGACUCGACCUUCGACGAGCUCAAAACUCGUCGGAAAACUCGAAUUAAACCAAAACCAUGAAACCAACAGACUCUGUGACAGUGACUGGCGAUUUGGAGCGGCUUCAUGCUAUUUAGGGUGCUUUGUAGGUGAAUUUCACAGCUGCCUUUUUCGGAGAUAAGACAAUUGGUUUUACAUGAUUAUGGAGGUUUAAUGGAGUAUGGAGAAGAAAAGGUUAACAAUGGUGGAAAAGCCAAUUUCUUAGAAGUGGGAUCGAGAAGAUGACUGCAGCACUAGGGAUUCCUCCCUACUGUUUCCCCUAUUUGUUUCCUGCCUCCCCGUUAAUUGUUUCCUCUUCUCACUCUCUGUUUUUGCCGUUCCUCUCCUCCUCUCGUUCUCACUGUUUCUCUCAAUUUCCCCUCUAUCUCUUCUUAGUUAUCCCUCUCUGUUCGUGCUCUCUCUCUGUUCCCACUAGGCGUGACUCUUCUUCUAUCUAUAUUUGUGUGCAACUGCCUAGGGUCCUUAGGGUUAGAAAAG
RNAcentral lists this long non-coding RNA (11866 nucleotides) under Nicotiana tabacum (common tobacco). RNAcentral describes it as "long non-coding RNA (NTAB_LNC017259)". Lineage: Eukaryota; Viridiplantae; Streptophyta; Magnoliopsida; Solanales; Solanaceae. The record is from RNAcentral.